This 1581-nucleotide long non-coding RNA is filed under the name Homo sapiens (human). RNAcentral describes it as "HSALNT0116452". The record is from RNAcentral. Lineage: Eukaryota; Metazoa; Chordata; Mammalia; Primates; Hominidae.
UUUGCUAGAAGGCGGGACUCCCGCUUCACUUAGUGAAGCUUGAUUUGCCCAGAGGAGGGGCAAGAGAAACAGAAAGAGAAGCAGCCCAGAUGAGAGAAAAGGUGCUUUAACUUUGAUUGCUGCAGAUUUUCUUGGCGUUUAAGUGCUGAUGAAGCAGGCACAGGACAAGGUGUCAUCAGUUGGGAAACAUUUGAAUUUGUCUCUGCCUGGUGCCUAUUGACAUCUUAAAUUGGAACCACUUUAAAUUCAACGUAUGGCCACAGAUGUUUUGGACCACUUAUAUUAAAUAAGUCAGUCAAAACUGAAGAUCAGCUUUUGAUCAUGAAGAGGAGAUUAGGUCACAGAUGUUCAAUAAGGAAAGACCAUGUGAAGACACAAGAAGAUGGUCAUCUGCAAGCCAAGAGAAAUGUCUCAAAAGGAACUGGCCCUGCUGACAUCUUGACCUUGAAUUUCCAGCCUCAGGUUCUUGGAUGCUUGAUGGAAUUAAGGAUUUGAGAACAUGAGAACAAACAGGAAUAUGCAGGAAAUCUUGAGGACACAGGAGAUGAAGUCAACCUGUGGCCAAGGGAGAGGGAGGGACAUGAGAAGCUUUGUGAAAGAUGUCAGCGCAAACCUCAGGCAAGUGCCACCCAACCUAGAGCUGUGGAUUGAAGUUUGGCGUUGGGGUGUCAGCCUGUGAUUUCCUGAUCUCCAACUCCACUCCUCUUAAGUCACCCAGCCUAAGGCACUGAACCUCAUCAUCAGAACCUCAGAGUCCAACAUCUUGACCAUAGCCUUGCAACCCCACUGUUAGGUUGUCCUACUUGCUAGCCAUUCAUUAUAGCAAUGCCCCUAUUUCAAACAUGUCUAGAAGAACAGCAUUAGUGGGGAGGAGCCAAGAUGGCCGAAUAGGAACAGCUCCAGUCUACAGCUCCCAGCGUGAGCGAGGCAGAAGACAGGUGAUUUCUGCAUUUCCAUCUGAGGUACCGGGUUCAUCUCACUAGGGAGUGCCAGACAGUGGGCGCAGGCCAGUGGGUGCACGCACCAGGCGCGAGCCGAAGCAGGGCAAGGCAUUGCCUCACUUGGGAAGCGCAAGGGGUCAGGGAGUUCCCUUUCCGAGUCAAAGAAAGGGGUGACGGACGCACCUGGAAAAUCGGGUCACUCCCACCCGAAUAUUGUGCUUUUUGGACCGGCUUAAAAAACGGCCCACCACGAGAUUAUAUCCCGCACCUGGCUCGGAGGGUCCUACGCCCACGGAGUCUCGCUGAUUGCUAGCACAGCAGUCUGAGAUCAAAUUGCAAGGCGGCAGCUAGGCUGGGGGAGGGGCGCCCGCCAUUGCCCAGGCUUGCUUAGGUAAACAAAGCAGCAGGGAAGCUGGAACUGGGUGGAGCCCACCACAGCUCAAGGAGGCCUGCCUGCCUCUGUAGGCUCCGCCUCUGGGGGCAGGGCACAGACAAACAAAAAGACAGGAGUAACCUCUGCAGCCUUAAAUGUCCCUGUCUGACAGCUUUGAAGAGAGCAGUGGUUCUCCCAGCACGCAGCUGGAGAUCUGAGAACGGGCAGACUGCCUCCUCAAGUGGGUCCCUGACCCCUGACCCCCGA